AUGGACCGAUCACUCGAUCAGUCAGUUUUCCUUCUGUUUUUUUUUCUCGCCGUCCUGUUGCAUGCCACGGCAGCAGCACCGGAGGGCAAUCAGGCGGCAACAGCCAACGGCUUUUGUAUAACUGAGGGAAUUAAUUUCAUGAAAAUCGACCAGCCAAAGCUCCAAGAAUACGCGGACGAGGUGGCUCGGGUCGGCGUCGGCGCCGUCCAGCGCGGGCCACGGGCCCGCUUCCAAAGCCAUGUCACCUUCUCGCCGCUGCAGCAUGGGAGGACGGCUGGUUCACGUGACCCUCCAGCUGGGGGAUCCAUGGUGGCUGACCGUCGAGCUCAAGGCAGAGAAGUUGAGAGCAGCAAUGGCGAGAUCCAUGCCAGCCAACCGGGCAAAGAGGAGGUCGUCGGGGAGGGACACAUCGGCAAGAUCCGGUCACCACGCGACCUGAAGAGAAACUCCUCAUGCUCGCCUCAAUCUCGGCGACACACCCUUAGUGUAGGAGGCAGCAACGACCUCGAUGAAAUCAUGGCCUCCAUCCCGGAACGCAUGAAGGACCUCGACCCCGUCGCUACUCCUCCCGCCUUAGCCGCACGCGGCAGCGGACCGUGGGUAGGAGGGCAGGCGGCGUCGCCUCGGCUGACGGCAGGGAGCAGCAUUGAUUUCGGAGAUACUGCAACAGUUUACGAAUUCCGAUGCACCACCCACCGUUUGCCCGCUCUGCUUGAUUCAUUCAGCAGAUUCAGAUAUCGAUCUCUGAUCUCUGUGUUGACCACGCCCACCCCUUCCUUCCCACAUCCCGCCUCUUUGGUCUAUACCGUGUCUCUCCCUCUCUCUCCAAUCUCCGUGUGUGAGUAUUACCAGGCCUCACCGGACAUUCGCAGCUCCACCCUCGCGGCUGCACGCCUUGGCCUCCGCCGCCGCCCAGGUCACAGGAACACGCAGGAAAGUAGCAGCAGCCCUAGGCCCAACAGCCGCCAAAGAAAACACAACACACGGAGAAGUCUGGUACAUGGCACCCACGCCAGUACACGACACGCAGGCCGGAAGAAGAAUCCCCCAACUGGAGGACGCCAAGCAGACAGCCAAAAGACCUUAGUCACCCCGCGUUUGUCUGCAAAGAAGAGACGCCGUCGCCCAAAUUUUGGAGGGACCAGCAAAGCGCUUCCAAGCCCACCCAAAAGAGACGCCGAGAGACGCCCGAAAGGUCAUGGGCCAAAGCCCGCAGCUCCGCAAAGCUACAAUGGUUGUCUUUCCUUCCCCCUCCUCCCCCCUCCCCUCUCCUCGUCCCCCUCUGUCCCCUCCCCUGCCGGUGGCCUUGGCCCCCUCGGCCCUCCCUCUUCCCCGCCCCCAUGCCUGCCCUUGGUGGCGCGGGCCUGUGGCCCCUGCUCUGGGCAUUCGCCGUCCCCCUCUCUGGCUCCCUUGGCGUCGGCGCCCUUCCUUGGCUCGCGGUUUUGGGCGCUCGGCGAUUUGAAGGAUUCGGCCUCUGAAUCCGACUCGGAGGGGUGCGCCCCGCCGUUGGGGGUGCCGGUGGUGGUUCCGGGGCCUGUGGCUGGUCGUUCCCGGAAGUUUGCUCCGGGUGGUCGGGGCAGGCCGGUGGCGCUGCCGUCGGGGUCUCCUGGUUGGUCGCGUGUUGGGCGCCGCCGUCGCAUGGUGGGUGUGGAUCUGACCUCCUCUCAGGUAUGUGUUCCCCUUCGUCCUCCCCGGUCUGCUGUGGCUCCUGAUCUGGGUGGGUUGGCUUCCCCUGUCGUUUCUCCUCCCUGCUCUCCUGCUCCCCGGCCGGGGCGGUCGUCGGCGGCGGCGGGGGCUGUUGGUGGCCUAACCCUAGAUCCGGGUGGCUCGGAGGGCCUUGCUGGGCCUGUGGGCCUGGCGGCCUCUGCUGGGGUUUGGCCCGAUCCGCCCGCUCCUCCGGCCCUGUCAUCUUUUUCUGCUUUCCCUCCCCUUCUGUCUGUGGGCCCGGGGCAAGUGGGCGCGUCGUCCCAUCCGCCACUUCUCCAGAUCCACUUCUUCCCCACCCCCCUUGUCCUCUCCUUCGCUGACGCGCUCGCCAUGGACAAGUCGAGGGCUUCCUCCUCCGAGGCCUUGUCGGGGAGCAAGAGGGCUAGGGAGUCCUUGCCGGGCUCUGGUGCAGAUCUAGCCUUUGAGGCUGAGCUUCGUUCUAAGUUGGUGGCUGACCGGGCGGCGCGCGGGCCUGUGCUUGCGGGGGAGGAAUGGGAGGCGGGGUCGGACCGCUCCGUGGCCAGAUCUGGGACGGCGCUCCCUGGAUCUGGUGCUGGGUCGAGGUCGGAUCCGUGGGAGGCUGUCGCGGCUUCGGCGGCUGGUGGCUCUUCUUCUUCGGCGCCUCGCCCCGUCCAGGCCGGGGGGGCCGGUCCCUCCGCCUCGGCCUCCUCCCCGCUCCUUCGGGGCCGGCGCGGCCUCCCGCUCUGGGCAACGCUUUGGCCCUGGGUCGUCCUCUUCGUUGGCUGGGGAGCGGAGGCCUCCUCCUCCUGGUCCGAGCGCGCCCUCGGGGGUUCGUGGCGACGACAUCUUGCCGCCGCCACAUCCUCCAGCUCCUGCUCCUCGCCAUCACCUGUCCCCUCGGGCCCUUCUCCGACCCUCAUCUGCUUUGCUUGUCACCGCCUGAACCACUUCCAAUCGAGGUGCACUUAUCCCCCCUUCUGUCUCAUCUGCCGAUCCGAUGGCCACCUGACGAUGGAUUGCCGCAAUCGCACCAAGGGUCCCUCCUUUGUGCACUUUGGGUUGGGUCUGCCUGGUUGCUCCUUUUUCGCUCUGGACGUUGAGGUCCCUCUCGUGAUGGCUGCACCUUCCCUCUCCAAUGCGGCUAUUAUCACACUUGUAGUUUCUGUCAAAGCGGCUACUUGUGGUGCGAAGGUGGUGGGUCCUCUCAGCAAGACUUGGGUUUUGGUUGAUGAUGUGCCUGUUGGCCUUCGGUCAGUGGAAUUCAUGAUGGCUUUUGGUAACCUCAUUGGCAAACCUGUGGAAGUGGACUUGGAAUCUCUCGAGAAGGUUGGCCCGGUUCGUCUCAGCGUGUGGUGCAUUGACCCGGCCUCUGUUCUUGGCUCUGUGGAUGUCUUUCCUUCCCAUGAAGAUGACACGCAGGGGGAUGGUUCAGCUGGGGGGCAGAAGCCCAAUGGGGGUUCGGAUUUGCGCUUCACUCAAUCAGAAUGGGACAAGAUGGACUCUGAUGACUGUGAGAAUCUCAAGGAGAACGCCCUGACCCCUAAACCCCAGAAGGUGAAUCCACAAGAGGGGGUGGUUGGCAAGGGGACCCCCAUCUCCUGUGCUUGUUCUAAUGUGCCUAUUCGCCCGCAGUCACCCUCCUUCUCUGGCAUUGAGGAUCUCCCUGCUUCUCCUAGGCGCUCCUCUGACUUUCCCACCAAGAAGAAGAAGAAGGUCUCGGUUCGGAAGUUUUCUGCUAAGAGUCGGGCUUCAUCCACCUCCAAGGCCUCCAAGGUUUCUGCUGCAGGGUUGGCUCGUCGUCUGGACCAGGACCUUGGUGCUACAUCGGGGUCUGGUCCUGGCUCGGCGACGCCGGCGAGGGGCUCGCCGGUGUUCCAUUCUCCUGCGUGUACGGCGCGGAAGGGUCGGCAUGUGCGGGAUUCCGGUGUUUCGGUGGCGGAGUGUGCGGAACAUCGCACUGCGGCUAGAGAUCUCCCUCCUGCAGGUUCGUCUCCUCCUCCCCAUGCUCUCCCUUCUUCCCCAGUUCGCCUAAUUUUACCUGCUAUAUUAGAUGAUCAUUUGCUGCAUAUUACGUCGGAUAUUGGGGUGGUUGACAACCCGGGGAUGGGCGCUUCCUCUCAUCUCCUCUCUAUCAUUCGUGCGAAUGAGGGGCGCCGCGACCAGAUUCAUGACGUGGUGUGUGGGGAUCACAUUGACAUUUUAGGUUUGGUUGAAACUUUCAAGGAAUCCUUCUCUCCAUCUGAAUUAUCUGCGAUCGCUGGGAUGGGUAGAUAUGACUGGCACUUUCUGCCUGCUUCGGGUCACUCUGGUGGUAUCUUGAUUGGCUCCAAGCGGGACAUCUUUGACUUCAUUACUUUUGAUCAUGGUAUUUUUUGGGCUAGCUGCGUAGUUCAUCAUCGCCAACUAAAUUUGAUGUGGGAAUUCAUGGUGGUGUAUGGGCCUGCGGAUCAUUUGCUUUCCCCUCUUUUUUUGGAUGAAAUCUCGAGCAAGAUUGAGACUUGCAAUAUUCCUCUUCUUAUUGGGGGAGACUUUAACCUGACUCGCUCGCCGGCCGACAAGAACAACUCUAACUUCUCGUGGCCUCUCGCCAAUGCUUUUAACGAUUUCAUUAGUAGUUGCGCACUUCGCGAGCUUCCUAGGGUGGGGGCUCGUUUCACCUGGUCUAACCAUCAAGCCUCCCCGGUCGGGUCGGUGCUGGAGAGGGUUUUUGUGUCUGUUCGGUGGGAUUUGAUUUUUCCUCGUGCUCUGCUUAAAGCCAGGCCUGCGGUUGGGUCUGACCAUGUUCCCCUUGUCCUUGACGCGGGUAUUUUACCGAUCGCCACGACCUCCCGCUUCCAGUUUGAUUCCUCUUGGCUUUUGAUUGAGGGCUUUUAUGAUAUGCUUGGGUCUAGGAUUGCUACUUUUCUUUCUUCUACUCUCCGCUCCUUUGGUCCUCUUGAUGACUGGCAUAAACUCUCCUACAAGCUUCGCAAAUUCCUUAAAGGGUGGUCUAGAAACAGGGCGGCUGAGGCCCGUAAAGAAAAGGACUCCUUAGACUCUCAAAUCCGGGAUCUUGAUCUUAUGGCCGACUCCCGUGGUCUCUCCUCCUCUCAAUGGGCCAUGCGGUACGCCUUGGAAGAUGCCUUAAUGGUGCUGCACCACCAGUCGGAAGUUUAUUGGUGCCAGCGUGGGAACCUUAAUUGGACCUUGAAGGGGGAUGCGAUGACGGCGUAUUUCUUUGCGAUCGCCAAUGGCAGGCGUCACAGAUGCUUCAUUGACUCCCUAGUUAUUAAUGGCGUUAGAACCUCGGACCAACCCACCAUUAUGGCCCACAUUGUGGGUUUCUUCUCUAAUCUGCUUAGCUCUAAGCCUGACCUGGGGGUUGGCCUCUGUCCUGGAUUCUGGGACUCUAAUUCUAGGAUCUCUCCUGAUGAAAACAUGCGUCUUAUGGUCCCCCUUUCUGACGAGGAGAUCUGGCAGAUUAUGAGUGCGGAGGAACAAUCCUUGUGGUUGGACAUCCUGAAAGCUAAAUAUUUCCCGUCCUGCAGCCCAAUGUUUGCCAUAUCGCGUGAUGGCUCACAGAUCUGGAAGCCGUUGGUCAAAGUUAGGCCUAUUUUUCAAUUAUUCGUUAAGUUUGUCGUUGGGGACGGUGCUUCGAUCAAGUUUUGGUUAGAUUGGUGGUGUGGAGAUUCACCACUCUCGGUGACCUUUCCCACCCUGUUUUCUUAUUGUUCAGACCCUGCCAUUUCUAUUGCUAAGUUAGCUUCCCAGGGGUGGAACCUGAUCUUCCGGCGUUCCUUGUCGCCUGUAGAGUUCGAAGAGUGGCAACGUCUUACUGCCCUCUUCCCUUCGCUCUCAACGGCUAGGGACUCGGGGAUCUGGCCGCUAUCUUCCUCUGGUCGGUUCUCGGUUAAAUCUCUUUAUUCCAAGCUCGUUGGGGGUACGCCCACUAAUCGCUUCUCCCAGUGCCGUGGCCGUCGCCGUCUUCACUGGCCGCCGGUGUCGUCGUCGUCACUGACGAGGUCGACGUACUCCGGCGGCGUCCAGAGGUGGGGCGGCGGUGCGUGGUGGACGGGGGUGGGCUGGACGACCAGAGGUGCCUGCACCACCUCCUCCCGCGGCGACGCCUCCCGCAACGGUGACCGCGGCGGAGUGAGGCACCAGUUCACGCCUAGGCCGGCGGCCAUCUCCGGUGCAGUGCAGGACCAGCCCCACCCCUGGCCCACCAGCUGCUCGAAUGCGGGUGGGUCCUCCUCCUACGACUCCCCCGUGACGGCCGCCAGCUGCAGCUCCGGGAACGCGAUGUCCCCGGCGGCAGAGAGGGCGAUGGCCUCCUCCAGGCCGUCCCACUGCCGCUCGUCGUGCGUGUUCAGGGAGUCGUCCAUGACACGCUGCAGGAGACGAGCCUCCUCCUCCGCUGUCAUGCGAGGAGGGGAGGUGGCGACGGAGACGGGGAAGGCGACGGCGUGGGCGUCAGGCCGCGCACUCGCGUACGCCCGCGCGCCUCUGCACAUGGCCGCUGCGGCCCCGACACGGUGCCGGCGAAGUAGGACGCGCGGCGCGUGUCGUGCUCGUCCUGGAGCCAUGUGUCCCACAACGGGGAGUCGAGGGCAUACAUGUAGUCGUAGUACAGGUCGUCGGGGAGGAGGCGGUGGCGGCGGUUGA
RNAcentral lists this ribosomal RNA (6312 nucleotides) under Triticum aestivum (bread wheat). RNAcentral describes it as "partial small subunit ribosomal RNA". The record is from RNAcentral. Lineage: Eukaryota; Viridiplantae; Streptophyta; Magnoliopsida; Poales; Poaceae.